UCAAUUGCUCACCUUUGUGCAGGUAGGUGCUGUUAGAAAAUUGAUGGGUGAAGCAGACACGCAGCUAAAGUAAAAUUGGGAGAAAAAUAAAGAACGAGCACAAUAGAGGACACCAGAAAUUACGUGGUUCGGCUUUUAGCCUACGUCCACGGGCGAAAACAGAAGGAAAUAUUUUACUAGUGAAAUAAGGAUUACAAGUAUUGUAAUAUUUUGGCUCACAACCCAAAACCCCAAUACACCCAAUCUCUCACUCACUAGACUCUCUGCUCUGCAAGAAUUAUUUCUCACAACUCUCGACUCUCUCUACAAAAUUGAAUGCCUCUCAAAAUGAAAUUGAAUUUGCUCAUUCUCUUCGUUUCUAUUUAUAGAGAAAGCUUUGGCACUAUUCAUCAAUUAUAUAUUAUUAUUUUUUCUUCUUUCUUUUGUCAAAGCCGUGUGCCUCUUAUUUCUUCUUCAAACAUUUAUAGCUUCUAGAUUGCGACUCCUCAUUCUCCAUUCUUCUUUUGUUUUCUUUUCCAACUAAAGAUGGUGUUGACCAUCUAGAUAGCCCAUUUGUUUGACAAAAUAUAGAUCAAGUAAAUCCUAUCACCAAAUGAUACGAAAUAUAAGUAAUCUAAAAUGUGGUUCAAAUUGAAAAGUAACAAAAAAUUAUACCAGAGCGCAAGAUGUGGGAGGAUCCUUUUGCAGAUCCUUGAGUUCCUUCAAAAUACACUUUGAAGCCAUAACUCUUCAAGGGAUUAUUAAAAUUAAAGCUACAACGAACCUUAAGACCUGCAAAACUGUAAACAAAUCCAUAUACAACUUCUUAAUUAGACUAGCCAAGCUUGUAAAACCACAAAUUAUUUGAUCUACUGCAUUUGAAUCAAAAAGUUUAAAUCAAAAUUUCGAAAAUACUAAAAACAUAACGACACAAAUUGACCUUGCGUGGCAGAGAACAGGAUCGUAGGGCAAUAGCGUCGAGAAAGUGAAACGGUGAAGCAGAUCUACGUCGUCAAGCCGCCCCUGCCUCGCUCCUCUAACAACCCCUUGCUUUGUUCUUCAACACAAAUAUCGUCGAAAAAGAACGUUCGGUGUUACAAUGGAUUCACAUAAGCGAAAACAAACAAGCUAACCCUAAAUAGCGUGAACAAAUCAAAUCUUGAAAUUAUGAAAACACAAUCGAAAUCACGGCAUAAUUGAUUCACAUGAGCGACGACAAACAACAUGCAAACAAUAAAUUGGACCUGAGGAGUGGCUAAGAGGCCGGGAUGGUAGAGAGACUUUUGUUGAAGAAUCGCUUGCUGCACCAGUGCUUGUUGCUGCUGUCGAUGCUGCUUCAACCUCUGGUACUGCAUUUUCCUUCAGAAUCGAAGGAUUUGUAAACUGUUUGUCGAAGGAUUUGUAAACUGUUUGGUUCCUGAGAAAAUUUCGUUAAGGUUUCUCGAGAAAAUGAAAGAAAAGAAAAAAAACGAAGAAAAUGAGAGAGUGACGAGAGAAGCAGCUGUGUAUGACUGUUUUCGUUUAACACUUAGGAAAAAAAAGGAAGAAAGAAAGUUUAAA
This 1539-nucleotide long non-coding RNA is filed under the name Citrus sinensis (sweet orange). Its description in RNAcentral is "long non-coding RNA (CSIN_LNC003582)". Lineage: Eukaryota; Viridiplantae; Streptophyta; Magnoliopsida; Sapindales; Rutaceae. The record is from RNAcentral.